AUCCCUGAGGAGGAAAUGAGGAAACUAUUUGAGAAAUAUGGGAAAGCAGGAGAACUUUUCAUUCAUAAGGAUAAAGGCUUUGGCUUUAUCCACUUGGAAACACGAACCCUUGCAGAGACUGCCAAAGUGGAGCUGGAUAAUAUGCCUCUCCGUGGAAGGCGACUGCACAUGCGCUUUGCCUGCCAUAGUGCAUCCCUUACAGUCCGAAACCUUCCUCAGUACGUGUCCAACGAACUACUGGAAGAAACAUUUUCUGUGUUUGGCCAGGUGGAAAGGGCUGUAGUCAUUGUGGAUGAUCGAGGAAAACCCUCAGGAAAAGGCAUUUUUGAGUUCUCAGGGAAGCCAGCUGCACGGAAAGCUCUGGACAGAUGCAGUGAAGGGUCUUUCCUACUAACCACAUUUCCUCGGCCUGUGACUGUGGAGCCUAUGGACCAGUUAGAUGACGAAGAAGGACUUCCAGAAAAGCUUGUUAUAAAGAACCAGCAAUUUCACAAGGAGCGAGAGCAGCCACCUCGAUUUGCACAGCCUGGCUCGUUUGAGUAUGAAUACGCCAUGCGUUGGAAGGCACUUAUUGAGAUGGAGAAGCAGCAGCAGGAUCAGGUGGACCGCAACAUCAAGGAAGGCCGUGAGAAGCUGGAGAUGGAGAUGGAGGCUGCUCGCCACGAGCACCAGGUCAUGCUGAUGAGGCAGGAUUUGAUGAGACGCCAAGAAGAACUUCGAAGAAUGGAAGAACUGCAUAACCAAGAGGUCCAAAAACGAAAGCAACUGGAGCUCAGGCAGGAAGAGGAGCGUAGGCGCCAUGAAGAAGAAAUGCGGCGACAACAAGAAGAGAUGAUGCAGCGACAGCAGAAAGGAUUCAAGGGAACCUUCCCUGAUGCACGAGAGCAAGAGAUACGGAUGGGCCAGAUGGCUAUGGGAGGUACUAUGGGCAUAAACAACAGAGGCGCCAUGCCCCCUGCUCCUGUGCCAGCUGGUACCCCAGCUCCUCCAGGACCUGCCACUAUGAUGCCCGACGGAAUCUUGGGAUUGACGCCACCAACAAGUGAACGCUUCGGCCAGGCCACUACGAUGGAAGGAAUUGGGGCAAUUGGUGGAACCCCUCUGGCUUUCAACCGUGCAGCUCCUGGAGCUGAAUUUGCUCCAAAGAAACGUCGCCGAUACUAAUAAAGUU
This is an RNA transcript of Octodon degus (degu), 1171 nucleotides long. It is a transcript of the gene named non-POU domain-containing octamer-binding protein pseudogene, with no coding region annotated. The record is from RefSeq and is a predicted model, not a curated record. The transcript has a single exon. NCBI's taxonomy places the organism in Eukaryota, Metazoa, Chordata, Mammalia, Rodentia, Octodontidae.